Molecule: long non-coding RNA, 488 nt
Organism: Pieris brassicae (large cabbage white)
Lineage: Eukaryota; Metazoa; Arthropoda; Insecta; Lepidoptera; Pieridae
Exons: 2
Source: RefSeq, a predicted model, not a curated record
AAAAUUAGAAAAUAUUUACAAUUAUUUAUAGAAAUUAUAGAUUUUAAAGCGGCAAAAACUGCAUAUGCCUCUGCUGUAAAUAUGGAGCACUUUUUAUCGAGAGCAAAGCUUUGAGCAACAUCUUUUUGGGAAUCAUAUACCGCACUUCUCACAAAAUCAUUGCCUUUACUGCCAUCAGUUUAGAUUGUAUAAUACUUGUUAUUUUCUUCUAUAAAAGCCAGUAAAUCUGAAUUAUUUUCGAUUGAAUUUGAUAAAAUCGUAAUAGGAUGAGUGAUACAACUGUAUGAAUGAGUGUAACACGACCAGUGUGAAAGUUUUUUGAUGUUCGAAUAAUGAGAUUGUAUUUCUAAAAAAAUCUGGCACAGAGUUGGAGAUGUACCUCUCAGGAGACCAUUUGGUGAAGUGAGUGGACCAUCUAUAUUGAUUGGAUCCGAUAUGAGAGAAAUGAAGCUAUCAACACAACUUCUUCCUCUGCGAAAUCCAUAUUG